This 1586-nucleotide unclassified non-coding RNA is filed under the name Hevea brasiliensis (rubber tree). Lineage: Eukaryota; Viridiplantae; Streptophyta; Magnoliopsida; Malpighiales; Euphorbiaceae. The record is from RNAcentral.
CUAGCCUUUUUUUCGCUGUUGCUCGCAAAAUCUCUCGAUCUAUCUCUGUCUGAAAUGGCGGCUGAGUCCAUGCCAAAGGGAGAUGAGAACUCACCAACAAUGGAAGUACCACUUGUAGAGGAGCAAGAUGGUUCCCAGCUCUCCAAAUCUCUUCACCGUUUAGAGACCUUUCUAAGGCUCUUUGGCUAUUGUCAAUACUCCUUUUUAAGCUUCGUAAUCUCUUGGCUUUCUUUUCUGCUUCUGGGUAUUGUUCUUCCGGUCUUUAUGAUCAAAUUAUCUGCUUCUUCGAAAGCUGAGAAGUACCAGAUCAAUAGCUUCGAGUUUCAGAUUUUGGUGUUUCAAUCUCUGGCUGCAGCAAUUCCUCACCCCAUAUUUUCUCAAAUUGAUUUGAGAAAAUAUGGGGUGAGGAAUUUUCUGUUUGUCGAUAGGUCCCAUGGCCAUAUGGCUGAGUUCCGUGACGAAUAUGUAAAGAAGAUACAUGAUUUCUUCUUUUUGGUGGCAGUGUGGGUAUUGCCAUGUCUGCUUCUGAAGAUUGUUCUUGAGAUCGUUCGAGAUAUGCAUGUGCAUCGUGAUCCUUGGUGGCAAACUGUUGCAAUUUCGAUUGCUCACAUCAUCUCUUGGACUUAUUCAACUAUUAUCUUUUUAUCUGGCUGUGCUUUAUUCAAUCUAUUGUGCAAUUUGCAAGUGAUACACUUCGAAAAUUAUGGGAAGCUUUUGGAAAGGGAUAUGGAUGUUUUGGUAUACAUUGAGGAACAUAUUCGCCUAACACAUUACCUGUCUAAAAUAAGCCACAGGUUCCGAAUAUUUUUCAUUCUUGAGAUAUUGGUUGUAACUGCCUGUCAGGCUGUGGCUUUAUUUCAAACCACAGGAAACAAAGAUAUAAUCACUCUCAUGAAUGGCGGUGAUUUUGUAAUUUCUUGCAUAGCUGAGCUUGUUGGGAUAAUUAUUACCCUGCAUGCAGCUGCAAAAACCACUCACAGAGCUCAAGGUGUCGCAUCAAUUGCUGCCAAAUGGCAUUCUUUGGUUACUAGCAACUCUAGAGAUGCAGCUAUAACCAGUAGCAGCGGAAAUCUGGAUCCUCCUAACAUGGCCAGCAUAUUGCAUUUAAAUUACUCAGAAAGUGAUCUGGAGGCAGUUGACUACGUGCCAGUGCCGACAAUUGCCCAAUUGACUUCAUCAUAUAACAAGAGACAAGCUUUUGUGUCGUAUUUGCAGUCCAACCCGGGUGGGUUUUCUGUUUUUGGAUGGAUGAUUGAACGGUCACUCAUCAACACUAUCUUCUUUCUUGAGAUUUCACUUGUUCUUUUUGUGCUCGGAAAGACCAUAACUUUCACUUCCAAAUAACAGAACUCAGCAACCCCCUUUUUGUAUUCGGACCGGGUGCAGAGCCGUCAAGUUAAUCUUAAAUUUUGAUUUUCACAGCACAUGUAUUAGUUAUAAAUUACUACGGCUAUGUUUCUUUUCGUAUGUCAUUUCAAACAUAAUACCAGCCGCUUCUUUCUUUCGAGUAUCCCGAAGCAAUGUUUCAGAUGUCACUUGAUUUCUGAAAAAGGGUAACCGCAAAAUGUCAAAUGUUUAUGCGCUGG